RNAcentral lists this ribosomal RNA (218 nucleotides) under uncultured bacterium. Its description in RNAcentral is "partial 16S ribosomal RNA". It matches the Rfam family "Bacterial small subunit ribosomal RNA", at positions 99 to 334 of the family's 1533-position model. The record is from RNAcentral.
CGCACGGGUGCGUAACGCGUGGGAAUCUGCCCUUGGGUACGGAAUAACAGCGAGAAAUUGCUGCUAAUACCGUAUAAUGACUUCGGUCCAAAGAUUUAUCGCCCAGGGAUGAGCCCGCGUAGGAUUAGCUUGUUGGUGAGGUAAAAGCUCACCAAGGCGACGAUCCUUAGCUGGUCUGAGAGGAUGAUCAGCCACACUGGGACUGAGACACGGCCCAG